UACGUAGGGUGCGAGCGUUAAUCGGAAUUACUGGGCGUAAAGCGUGCGCAGGCGGUUGUGCAAGACAGAUGUGAAAUCCCCGGGCUUAACCUGGGAACUGCAUUUGUGACUGCACGGCUGGAGUGCGGCAGAGGGGGAUGGAAUUCCGCGUGUAGCAGUGAAAUGCGUAGAUAUGCGGAGGAACACCGAUGGCGAAGGCAAUCCCCUGGGCCUGCACUGACGCUCAUGCACGAAAGCGUGGGGAGCAAACAGG
Molecule: ribosomal RNA, 253 nt
Filed under: uncultured bacterium
Lineage: Bacteria
Description: partial 16S ribosomal RNA
Rfam family: Bacterial small subunit ribosomal RNA
Source: RNAcentral